GACGAACGCUGGCGGCGUGCUUAACACAUGCAAGUCGAACGGAAGGCCCUGCUUUUGUGGGGUGCUCGAGUGGCGAACGGGUGAGUAACACGUGAGUAACCUGCCCUUGACUUUGGGAUAACUUCAGGAAACUGGGGCUAAUACCGGAUAGGAGCUCCUGCUGCAUGGUGGGGGUUGGAAAGUUUCGGCGGUUGGGGAUGGACUCGCGGCUUAUCAGCUUGUUGGUGGGGUAGUGGCUUACCAAGGCUUUGACGGGUAGCCGGCCUGAGAGGGUGACCGGCAACAUGGGGAUGGGGAUCGGGCCCGGCUUCUUACGGGGGGAGGCGUGGGGAAUAUUGCACAAUGGGCGGAAGCCUGAUGCAGCAACGCCGCGUGCGGGAUGACGGCCUUCGGGUUGUAAACCGCUUUCGCCUGUGACGAAGCGUGAGUGACGGUAAUGGGUAAAGAAGCACCGGCUAACUACGUG
RNAcentral lists this ribosomal RNA (466 nucleotides) under uncultured bacterium. RNAcentral's name for it is "partial 16S ribosomal RNA". It matches the Rfam family "Bacterial small subunit ribosomal RNA", at positions 28 to 507 of the family's 1533-position model. The record is from RNAcentral.